UUGAGUCCAACUUUUCCAUUACACUUUAGUGAAAUCACACAAAUAUACAAACUCAGCAGAAGGCAAUGGCAAUGAUAUAAAAACUGACACAGGCUAUUACAUGAAAGAUUCAUCAUCAUCAUCAUCAUCAUCAUUACAUUUUAACUCAGCAAAAAUAAAAAAAUAAAAACAAGGCAAUGGCAAAUGGUAUCAAAAAAUGGGCCCUGACUACGUCCUGGAAAGUAUCAAGGCGACGUGUUUCUGCGUUUUCAGUGAAAACAAAGGAAAUAAAGUUUUUCCAGCCAGAGUGAUGAACGGCGGCACUGCAGAGCAAAGGGCAGCGAGUCGAGAGGAUCUGAGCAUCACAUUUUUAUUUACGAGAAUCAGAUUCUUUAUUCAACAAAAAAAGAAAGUCAGCUGGUCGAGGCUCUGCUGUCAGGACAUUCUUCAACGUUUCUAUUUUAUUGUUUUAUUUGUUCUCUUUCCACGAUAUGACCUUUAUUUGCUGGUAUUUGUAGCAUGAAGAGUUGUCAUAUAUUUAGAUGUAAUGAUGGCAAUGGUGUCGCUACAAGUAGAAGUACUUACUGGUUUAAUUACACGUACACUACCAGUCAAAAGUUUGGACACACCUCAUUCAAUGGUUUUUAUUUAAUUACUUUCUACAUUUUAGAUUAAUACUGAAGAUUAACAGUGUUUUGUUUACAACAUAAUUGCACAUGUAUUCUUCUACAGUUUUGAUGUCUACAGUAUUAAUAUACAAUGUAGGAAGUAAUUAGAUAAAAACUAUUGAAUGAGAAGAUGUGUCCAAACUUUUGACUGGUAGUUUAGCUACAACUAAAUGUAGUAAAACCAGUAACAUUACAACUUGUAGAACUACAGACGGUUCUGUAAAGUAAAAUGGUUCUCACCAGUUUAACUACAUUCCUCAGUGGUAAUAACAGUGCUAGCAUGCUAUCAGUGCCAGGCAGUGGUUUUGUUACCAGCAGCAGUGUUACUAGCUUAACUGUAAUGGUGCUAGCUAGCUAGCUAACAGUGUUGUGCAGCAGUUUCGGUACAAAUAGCAUUCUUAGUUUAACUACAUUUCUGAGUAGUUUUGUGGUAAUAGUGGUGCUAGCUAACAGUAUUAGAAAGUGUUGUCGCUACAAGUACAGCUACAUUUCUCAGUAGGGUGGCGCUAACAGCACUGUGCUCUGAAUCAAACAGCUGUUUAGCGGUGAAGCUCUUUUGUUGAUCCUGUUCUGUGGUAGUUAGUGACCAGAAAUACUACAAAUGGUGAAUUUUACUGAAGCACAACGGAGCUUUUAGUGAAAUGAAAGUAAGGAUCCGAAUAUGACAACAUCACCUUACGUAAACCUGCUAAUGCUAGCUAGCAGCUAACUACUAGCCGACGAUGUGUUUUUCAAUCUGUAGGUAAACAGCCAAUGACUUAAAAAAAAAAACAAUCUUUAUCUUGCCGUAUUGGUGGAAAAGCUGAGUUUGAACUUGUUUUUAGCUCAUUUUAUCUUUCAGCUAUCAUGGUGGUUUUGUAAAUUCUUUAAACCGUCAACAUGCUUGGCUGGUUAUUUAUGUUGUCAAGUCUGAACCUCUAACUGCUGCCGACUCCCUCUGGGAUGUUCCUUCAUGAACAAAUAAAACUCGGACAAAUCUGAAACACCUGAACUGAUGCGGCCGUUUUUUAACAUUAAUUUGUGACAUUACAGCCUCGCGACCCGACACCUGCAGUGCCGCCUGAAUGAACAAUCCCAUCCGGAACUAAGACACAAGAUCCAGCGUGAGCGCCGCUUCUCAACCAGCGGCUCAGGGACCCCAACAAGGACCUUUUUGGAUGUUUUUAAAAUCUCUGUUCAGAAAAGUGCUUACAGA
Molecule: long non-coding RNA, 1842 nt
Organism: Amphiprion ocellaris (clown anemonefish)
Lineage: Eukaryota; Metazoa; Chordata; Actinopteri; Pomacentridae
Source: Ensembl